UUCAAAGUGUAUGGUUACUAUCAAAUUUCAUGGGUUUGUUAUUUAGGUUCGAUUCCUAACUUUGAAAAGGUUUAUAAUUCAAUUGGUUAGAAUGUGCUGCUCAUAACUGUGAAGUUAUAGGUUCGAGUCCUAUUAAACCUA
Molecule: transfer RNA, 141 nt
Filed under: Blastocystis sp. subtype 2
Lineage: Eukaryota; Bigyra; Opalinata; Blastocystidae
Description: tRNA-Met
Rfam family: tRNA (bases 68-141)
About the family: Transfer RNA (tRNA) molecules are approximately 80 nucleotides in length.
Source: RNAcentral